Long non-coding RNA from Leopardus geoffroyi (Geoffroy's cat), 3040 nucleotides. RefSeq lists it as uncharacterized. The record is from RefSeq and is a predicted model, not a curated record. Lineage: Eukaryota; Metazoa; Chordata; Mammalia; Carnivora; Felidae. The transcript is spliced from 2 exons.
UGGGGCGGUGAUAGCCUCCCCUGUCCUCCCUUGUACACCCAGACCCCCGCUGGGGCUCACCCACACCUCUGUCCCUGCUCCCACGGUGCCCUAACUCGAGGAUGCACCAGGCCGGUUGGGGUACCCUGGGUGGAGGAGGGCAACUGGGCAGAUCUGCCCCUCCGGGCUGGGGAAAGACUUGCUUUGGCCGGCAAGAGGUAGGCCCCAAAUCCCCGCCCAAAGGGCAGGGCGACUGCCACCUUCCCUGACCCCAGAGCCCGGAAAGGGAUCCAAGGCCUUGGCCAGAAGCUGCCCAGACCCUCUGGUGCCAUGAGCACAUCUGUCCCUCCUACCCUCAUCCCCCCUCAGGACUGAACCUGGGCACCUCAGGAGCCCUGGCCGUCCAGCUUCCUCCUGAGAUCACUCCGUGCAAAGCCAGAAGAGACUAUUCCCUCCCAGGUGCUCUGUGGAAACACUUGGGAUGCGUACCCCAUCAGCCGGCCCCGCCACCCCUACCCCCCACCUCCCAGCACAGCCCAACAUGGGGUAGGGCCCCUCAAGUUGUUCUCUCGCCGCCUGUGGUCCUGGCCCGCGCGCUGUGGGUGCCGAUGGCCGGGCCCUGGCCUGCCAGGAGCUCUUGCCUUCACCCUGGAGGCCCCGUGGCGUCCAGGCCCCCAGACCAGCCUCAAGUCUGGGUCUCGGGCACUGGGGCCCCUCCCCGUGUGUCAGCUGCUUCCUGCACUUAACCACGUCUGGUGUCCCUGGAACCCACACCUGCGUUGAACCCUGCCUGUCGAGGGCCCUGUGUGGCUCCACUGCCCUCAGGGCUGUCCCCACUAAGCGAGCCCGCGUGCACAUGGGCAGUCAGAGGGCAGAGAGGGAGAGAAGCUGGCCCCGGGGCCCCGUGUGGGGUGAGGGCAGUGAGGGGCUGGGACGGAUGCCUGCAGGCCCCAGCGGGGUGCCACCAGUCUGAGCCCUGAUGCGCUGCCCUCACCGGUGUCUGUGGGAUGCAGCCCCCACCGAGGUCAUUCGGAGCCACCCACACGCUGCCCCUGCUUGUGGAGGGGAGAUGGCGGGCAGUAGCUCACCUGUGUGUCCCUUUCCACCACGUGGCUGCUAAAGACGUCCCCUCUCGUGCACAAAGGUAAAACGUGCUGACAGCUUGCCAAUCUGUUUUCAGAAUGAUGGCUUUCGUGGUACGUAAUUUAUGUGAUUGAUAAUGACAAGAUUUAAUCUUAGUUGUGGAGCCCCUCUCCUACAGGACAUCUCUCAGGCUACCGAGCCCGGAUUUCAUCCUGAAAGUGACAUGUAACCUGUGUGCCCAGUUGUGCACCCACAUCCACAGACCUCUCUCCAAGCCCCCGGUUCCCACCUUCCCCUCUGUCUCCUGCCGCCCCUGGAGCGCUGGGACACUUUCUCCAUGUCUAUUCUAUGAGCGUCCACUUCUCCCCACACCCACAGGGUGGCCAGUGCCUGCUUGCAGCUGUGCUCCCAGGAACCAUUCCCUUCCUGUGGAUCCUCAGGACACCCUUGAGCGAGGGGGUAUGAGAGCAUUAGACCGCAGGACACCCUGGCUGGGUGUGGGUCCAAGCCCCAGCUCUGUCCAGAUCUCUGCUCACACUGAGCUGACCCCUGGAGCACCAGGCUGGGAAAUCUUCCUUUUCCAUCAUCUGGUUCGCACGGGCUCUCCCCGCAGCCCUGGUGGGAGCAGAGGGACAGGCGCACACAGCAGGGGUGGGUGACACGGUGGUGCAAACUGCCCGUUUGAUCUGGAACGUUCCACCUCCACCCUCUCACGCAUCCCUGCUGACUUGGCGGGGCUGAGACGGCCCUGCUCGUGGUAGGCAGGUCUGCCACCUGGUGGCCCGUGGCCGUCUUUAGAGAUCUGGGCAGGUCACCGUCCACACACCCCAGCCCUGAGGACGACUGGGUCUACAUCUGGCACAGCAGCUGACGCGGGGCUCCCGCCGGGCCGGUCUGCAGCACUCCACCGUCUCUGCCAAGGUCCUGGGUCCGGGGGUCAGACUGGUGAAUGAAAUGGGGCUCUGGUGGGGGCCAGCACCGCUGCACCCGUUAGGUUCGAGGGUGGCACUGAUUUCUGCUGCCCUUCAGGAUGAGACACUGUUCUUUAUUUCUCUCCCGGUGUGUGUGUGGGGGGGGGGGGAAGGGGCAAUUGCAGACGUCUCCACCUGGCUGGCCCCACCACCACGGCUCUGACCCUGAGGGCCACUGAUCCAGUGUGAGGAUGAGUCAACCACCCUUUCUUUCUUUUCCGGUAACUCGUCUGAGCAGUGGAAACUGCCUCCCUCCUGGGGAGUUCCAGGGGCCCCCCUGAGAGUUUGAUUUGGGCCUGGAGCCCCUGAUUCUUUGGACCCGAUGUGCCCGACCUGAAAAAGAGGCCAGGAUGAAGCUUUGGCUGUUGAGAUACUUACCUGGGCCCUGAGUCCAACAGUAUUUAAGAAGUGCGAGUCUCAUGUCUUCAGGGUCCGGUACAAAGAAGCCAGCCUCGGCUGCCGUGCGGACGCUCUGAGGGAUGUGCUUUGGCCCAGGAACCUCGGGCGGCAGCAUCCUUCCCCCGGGGUUCCACGCUUUCAGUCCCUGGAUCUGUUCCGAGACCAGCUCACAGUGCGGGCUCAGGGACCUGCUUUCCCAUCCCAGCCUCCUUGGCUGGAAGAAGCUGAGGAACAUCGUUUGCCUGUCCUUCUCAUGGCCACCGGGCCAUCCCAGCAGGCAGUUAUUAAGCCCACUUGACCUUCACAUCCUACUGUCAUUGCUGUUUCCCUGUCAGCCAUGCCCCACCGUCCACAGCACUGAGUGACACGGCUGGCCCUCACCCUCCAUCUGUGACAGCGAUGUCCUACCGUUCUGCCUGGCAGAGCCAUAUGGUGGCUUCUCCAGCUUCACCUGCUCCGUCCUGGGAUUCAGGACGUGAUGAUAAAACGAUGUGAUCGGCUAUAAAAACUCUGUACCCCGGCUCUUGGGGGCCGCACUCCGAUCAAAAGUGUUGGUCCCGAUCGGUCGGCCUUGCCUCUCAUUGCAAUAAACUUUGUUGUGACUGUCA